UGAAGUUAGGCUCGCAUACCUGCUGAAUUUAAGCAUAUAAGUAAGCGGCGGACAAUAAACUAAACAGGACCCCCAUAGUAAUGGCGAAUGAGCAGGGAUGAGCUCAGCGUGGAAAUUGGGGCCUGAGGCCCUGACUUGUAGGCUGGUGAGGUGUUGCCAACAGAGGCGCAGAUGUAAGUCUUUUUGGAAAAGAGCAUCAAUGAGGGUGAGAAUCCUGCUUGCCAUUUGCAGACCCCUGUGCACGGUGUGCCCACAUCGAGUCACGUUCCUUGGGAUUGGAGCGCAAAGUGGGUGGUAACUUUCAUCUGAAGCUAAAUAUUGGUUGAAGACCGAUAGGAAACAAGUACCAUGAGGGAAAGAUGAAAAGGACUUUGGAAAGAGAGUUAAAAGUGCCUGAAAUUGCUGAAAGGGAAGCGAAUGGAGCCAGUGUGCCCGGGCGAGAUUGUCAUAUGUGAUAAUGAUCGGUUGCUGCUUCAUCGUAAGUGUUCUUGCAAUCAUUGAUCUAUGAGUGUGUGGUGUGUCUUGCCUUGAAUGUCAUCGCGGGCUUCUGUAUUACGACAAUUCAAAGUUCAGGGUAUUAUGUUUGUGAAGGUAUGAAUGUUCUUUGCUAUGCUUGUGCGCAAGCUUCUCUUGACUGUGUGUUUGCUGUGUGGCGCCCCAACACAGCGGGGCCACACACCAUUUCUACACAGCUGAUGACUAAAUGAUUCUAUUCGACCCGUCUUGAAACACGGACCAAGAA
Molecule: ribosomal RNA, 742 nt
Filed under: Phalacroma rapa
Lineage: Eukaryota; Dinophyceae; Dinophysales; Dinophysaceae
Description: LSU rRNA
Rfam family: Eukaryotic large subunit ribosomal RNA
Source: RNAcentral